This is a non-coding RNA of Camellia sinensis, 612 nucleotides long. The record is from RefSeq and is a predicted model, not a curated record. Lineage: Eukaryota; Viridiplantae; Streptophyta; Magnoliopsida; Ericales; Theaceae.
AUCAACAUUUGUUUGAUGGCACAAGUAGCUUAAUUUUACCUUGUUGAUCUUUAUAGAUGUCAUAUUUCAGUUAUUUACGGGUUCUCCCCCCCCCCUUCCAAUCUUAGGUGCUUAAAGAUGGGAACAACAUCUAAAGGAAUAUAAGGAAUCUCUCCAGAAAAAGGCAACUGCUGCAGGUUUUGACCGUCCUAUAGAUUACUUGUGGCAUGAAAGGGAAAAGGACCCUCGAUACUGCAGAAUAUCUUAUGAGAUGUACAAGAAGUGCCUUAGCGAGAAAGAAAUGAUGUGUGAAUUCAUGCGCAACAAUUGUCCCCAAUUUAAAUAGGCUACUAAAUGUUGUGAUGUUGUUCGCAACUACUUCAUGAAUGUUUGAACCACACUGAAAUCUAUAAAUUAUGCAUCUGAUCGGAGACUAUUGUAUCUAUGGAUGGAGUAAUUAUCCAGUUCAACCAAUGCUUCAUUUUAAGUAGGUUUGCUAGUUAGAGUUUGGUGUGAUAUAUUAAUAUUUAUAUAAUUUGUGUGAUUUAUAUCUAAAGGAACUGGAAUGAGCCAAAAUUUUCUUGCUCUGGCUAAAUUAGGGUGUGCAUGUGAGAGAUGUUCGCCAUUAUAUUU